This is a microRNA precursor of Oryza sativa Indica Group (long-grained rice), 206 nucleotides long. It matches the Rfam family "MIR812 microRNA precursor family". Lineage: Eukaryota; Viridiplantae; Streptophyta; Magnoliopsida; Poales; Poaceae. The record is from Rfam.
AAUAAGUGCAGCCAUGAGUUUUCGCGCCCAACUUUAAUCGUUCAUUUUAUUUAAAUUUUUUUUAUAAAUAGCAUUUUUGUUAUUAUAAGAUGAUAAAACAUGAAUAAUACUUUACUCGUGACUUAUGUUUUUAAUUUUUUUUUCAAAAAUUUUCAAAUAAGACGAAUGGUUAAAGUUGGGCGCUGAAAACGAUGACUGCACGGAUG